This 76-nucleotide transfer RNA is filed under the name Shewanella piezotolerans WP3. RNAcentral describes it as "tRNA-Val". It matches the Rfam family "tRNA". Rfam says of the family: Transfer RNA (tRNA) molecules are approximately 80 nucleotides in length. Their secondary structure includes four short double-helical elements and three loops (D, anti-codon, and T loops). Lineage: Bacteria; Pseudomonadati; Pseudomonadota; Gammaproteobacteria; Alteromonadales; Shewanellaceae. The record is from RNAcentral.
GUCGAUUAGCUCAGCUGGGAGAGCACCUCCCUUACAAGGAGGGGGUCACUGGUUCGAGCCCAGUAUCGACCACCAU